CGAGCUCCCAAACAAACCCUAAGUUAAAGGGUAUAUAUAAACUACGCAGUUCUUAAGGAUUUGCACGAUCCAUACAGUUAGGUUGUUGAUAUCAGGCAAUCAUCUUAGAAUUGGUGAACAACGAAGAUUCAAGAACAAGCUUGCAGUGUAAACCUAAGGGUUCUGUCAGACAUAGAACCACGGUAUAUAUUUUGACCUUGAUAAGGGGCAUGUGCACGUAAAAUCUAUUUUGGCUUACUAAUGUGUGAUACUAUAACAAUCAUGGGUUUUUCAAAUCAUAGAUUGGAUCAUGGAACUUUGGGUGGGUUUGGUGUGUUGCUGGAUCGGACCGAGGCAGUGAUGCACUUGCUAAUUCUCUCAAAGGGACCGUCCGUUGAUGACAAGAAGACUGAACCAGUGUGUUCCUUAAGAAAGGCAGGUUGGGGUUGAGCAUUACUGUUAUCUUAAGCUUCAGUAUUCUCAAAGAACUUCCUUGCUGUGAAUGUAGGAGACCAUUAUUUUUUAUGUCCGCUCUCAUCUCCGAGAUUCGUUUACAGGUCUACAGUUUUUGGAUUUUAAUAUUUAUCACUUUUCAUGAUCAUCACAAGAAGUGCACACGACUGAACGCGGCCUCUCUCUGUCGGCAACAACUCCGGUAUUCUCUAUCCUCUUUUUGUUUGCACUAUCAAAACCUAGAUUUGUUUUUUGUUUUCAAGUCGAUUAUUAAUUUCUUUUAUUUUUUUUCUUGUUGUAGGCAGGUUAUUUUUAGUCUGUAUUUGCAAGAUGCUUUGUCAUUCUAAAAUCUUUUACAGUACGAGAAUAUCAAAAUCACAAUUGGGUUCAUGUACUUUCUUUUUGGCAUCCCACUUUCUCUGUACCAUUUUUUGCAGAUAUCACAGAAAUGCUUAGUAUCGACUUGGCUUUGGUGCUGCUGUAUCUACUGCUUGGGAUCGGAAACGAAAAAGGAGUUAUAUGUACAAGUACUGGACCUACCUUUCCUUCAGAAAAGACCCAAAUUGUUAUAACUUGUAACCAUUGAUGAUGAUGAAAGAGCCAAAGGCGAUUACGUUGGUGAAAGGCAGUGGUUGUCAUCUUUCUUGCUACUUCUACGCAUACUCUAGAGCUUCUUCACGUCAGCAUCAUACCUUCCUAUUUGGCGCAUAUAUAAGUUGGAUUUACCCCAGGUAUCUACGGAGCAAGAAAGAAACAAGCCUUAGAGGUACCCAAGCAAUGAGAAUGAGUUCUCCUUUCUUCAUUCUUUCCUGGUGUUAUGCGAAAGUGACGGGAAGGAGGGAACAUACAUAAGCAAUAGAUGUACAAUUUCUUUAUACUCUUGACAGAAUAAGAACCACAUGGCCACUACUCAAUACUAAUAGGCGUGUCGGAGUUAGCCCGAGCCCCCUUGGUACGCCUUGCAUUUUAAGGCGCAUGCCGGAGUUAGCGUGAGCCCUCUUGGUUCGGGUCCCCCGCUCCACAAAUAAUUGAGCUAUAAAUAAUCUAGGAAUUACUGGUUAAUCCAGUUUACAAAGAACCGUUUAGUGUGUAGUCCAACACUAAAAUAAUUCUACUCGCUGGUCCAAAAAUAUGUUUUUGGACCAGAUUUUUUAAUCGAUGGUCCUAAUACGUGUGGAAGCUAUAAUGUGUACUUUUCUAAAUGCCUAAACAACCCUUCUGGUCAAAUUUAAUUCAGUUUUAUCAGCUCGUUCUUCACAAAUUGGAGAGCUCUGGCGAUGACGAUGGUGAUUUAUGGAAAAAAUCCAAAGAUUCCAAGUCCCUCUACAAACUAAAUCCGGAGGAGUCGAUAAUGGUGAAUCGUCGUUGUUCUCAUUUUAUAUUUGAUAUGUACAUAGGAUGUGUACAUAUGGAUACCAUCCGUAUUUUCAACUAAAUCCUAUGUAAUCGAGAUUUUGUAAUCUUAUCAACACUCUGGCUAUUCAUGGAGAUGAGGUUUCACAGAAUCACAAAAUA
RNA transcript from Papaver somniferum (opium poppy), 1947 nucleotides. RefSeq lists it as uncharacterized. The record is from RefSeq and is a predicted model, not a curated record. Lineage: Eukaryota; Viridiplantae; Streptophyta; Magnoliopsida; Ranunculales; Papaveraceae. The transcript is spliced from 9 exons.